GCAAGUCGAACGGUAACAGAGAAGAGCUUGCUCUUUUGCUGACGAGUGGCGCACGGGUGCGUAACGCGUAUACAAUCUACCUUUUACAGGGGUAUAGCCUUUAGAAAUGAAUAUUAACACGCCAUAGUAUCUAAGUAUCUCAUGGUAUUUAGAUUAAAACUUCGGUGGUAAAAGAUGAGUAUGCGUUCUAUUAGCUAGAUGGUAAGGUAACGGCUUACCAAGGCGACGAUAGAUAGGGGGCCUGAGAGGAGGAUC
Molecule: ribosomal RNA, 255 nt
Filed under: uncultured bacterium
Lineage: Bacteria
Description: partial 16S ribosomal RNA
Rfam family: Bacterial small subunit ribosomal RNA
Source: RNAcentral